CUCAUCUGAGCAAGAAUAGCACUCGGCUGCAUUCAACACGCUUGGGAGCAUGAGGGUCAACACUUGCCUCUCAGCAAUUCAGAGGCCAAAAAUCUGCCAGGCACAGGAACAGAAGCCUAGGUCCACCCAAGAAAGCAAGAGCCAAGACCUUCUGAGGGUUGUUACCUUUGAAGUACAAAAUAAGAGUGCCAGCUGGAUGGACUCUGGUAGGGAGAUGUUAAUGGGGACAGGUAUGAUUAUCAAGACAGGAUACAUUUCACCAGCUUUUUGCUGUAAGGCUGCUAUAGAGGACCAUGUUUAAAGCUUUACUACAGACAAGGAAACAGCAUCAACCACACUCUGCAUCCAAAGAAGCCAAUCACUGCAUCGUCACCAGCAGUCACAGACAUGGCCAAGCUGUGGUAAGUCCAUGCUGGCUGUUUCUAAUCCUGUUAUUCAUUUGCUGGGAUUUGCUUUGCAACCUUCCCAGGGACAGAGGUUGGCUGACUGAUCUGUCUGUCCCUGGAUCAUUCUUCCUGCUCAUAUUGGUGAGGACUGUGAUAGUCUUUCCAGUCACCAGGAACCUCUCCAAUCUCCAAGACAUUUAAUGGUGAUGAAGUGGUCUCAUAAAGAUGCUGGAUACUUCCCUUCUUAUCCUGGGAAGCAGAUCUUCCUUUUCUCCUCUUCUACUCAUUUUCUGCCUCCAUUUUUUUAUUGUUUUCCUACGUAAAAUACUCUCCUGGGGACUUUUUCCUCCUGCAUCUCCACAGUUUCCCUCUCUGUAAUUUCCUUUUUUUUUUUUUAAAUUUAAUUUUAUUUUUUUUAUUUAUCCUCACACUGGGCACUACACUCAAAUAGCUGCUCUUCAAUACGACCCCUCUCCAAAGAACCAUAACAUGAGAAGAUGCUUAAACAAACAGGCACUCACCUCUGCACCAUUAACCUGGGCCUAUCUCCCCACAUCAUACUUCUUUUUUAAUGAAAAACUGCUGGCUGCCUCAAAAGAUAUUGUCUAAACAAGCACAGAACAGCUCCUUAGAGAGAUGAUCUCUCCAGUUUUAUACACUCCAAUUUAUUACUGCAUCAUAUUUCUAAGAAAAUAAUUUUUCUUAUACUUUUCUGCAAAGCACUCUUCUCACAGAUUAUUUUUAAACUUUCAUUACGAAAAUGAAAAAAUCUAUAAAACUUAAGUAGUAAAAUGAGAUGAUCCUGAUUUAGUAAUGUGAAGGGGUGUACCUAAACUAAGUGGAAUGCGAUCUGGAAUGUCUACCCAUGGUGAGAAGACUGAAAGAGAUCACAUAAAGACAGAAGAAGCAAAAAGAGGUUGAGAGGACGUGUGUGUUUUUAUAAGAUUGGGGAAACGCCACCAUCCCAGGGAGACAUCGGCUGAGCCAGCUGGGGGCUCACACCUUGCCCCUGGUUUGAAUGGAUGACAGGAUUUUUCUUAAGCUUCGUUGUUCUCAGGGUAAGUUUUGGGGAUUCACCCCCCUCCACACUAUUUUUGUAGCAUCUUCCCCUGCCCAUACUAGUGCACUGCACCCAGAAGCUGCCUGUAACCUUGGGAGGUGAAUUUGCCCCGUCACCAGCAGUGGUUUACAACCUUUUGCAGGCAAAUGUGCACCAAAGCCGAUCCCAGAAACAUCUCCGCUCUCCCCCCUUCUGGAAUGCAUUAAUUACGCAAGCAUCCAGACAGUUCCUCUGGUGUCCUUAUCUUAGGACAAAGCACAUUGCCCGCGAGAGGUGAGGAAAGGAGUGGGGGAGGACACAUGUGAAGACCCGACUAUCUUUCCUCACGGUCACGGGCGCUUAGGUAGGAAGUCGGCAUUAAAUCUUUCCUCACCUUUAAACCAGUUCAUCCCUUCAUUGUCUCCAGAUGCAGACACCUUUAUGUCUAGCCAGGAAAAAGAACUGGGGGUAUCAGGUAUCUGCACUUUUAAACGUUAUCAGCCACUUCCCUUAAUUUGUUUCAAUAAAUUGCUGAUGGAGGAAAAGAACAGGAUUUACCCGCAUACACAUAAAGAAUAUUUCUGCUACUACUUUUUUCAGAUCUCUGAAGAUUUGACUUUCUUCCCUCUCUCUCCCUCCAUCAUUUAUGUGAAAUCUUCCUUAUUUUUCCCUGCGUUGGCUUUGGUGUCUAAAGUCUAUUCCAUUUUUCAUUAAAACAGUGUUGUUUUUGCUCACCUGCUGGUUAUUUCUUUUAAGUUCCCUACUGCAGAGAAGAAAGUGACUUUCAUUUGGAACUAACUUCAGCACUGAGACAUCCAGGAGCUCCUAAUUGUUAGGAUCUACAACCCAGGUUUUUAGGUUUUCCUCCCACUUCAUCUAAAGACUUGCACCCUCCAAAAAGAAACUGCUUUUAUAUGGGAAUACAGCUCACUCAAAUGUCAUACUUCACUAUGCCACACCACUGAGAGCCCCUAGGUAAAUUAGAGACUGGAUUAGUGUGUAUCUACUGCCUUGUACUGAGAGAGCCAUAAACACAAGAGGUAAAGAACUGAGACAGAUUAUGUUUGGGUAGUGCCACCUUGGGUAUGACUUAGUCGUUAAUAAUGUUUCUAUUAAUUUUUUAGAAAUAUAUUAGAGUUUUCUUGUUGGCACAAAAAUUUUCCCACUUUGUGGGAGCAUUGGGCACCCACAACCCCUUCUCUCAUGGUGCCUCCAGGAGGAGGAAUGGAUCCUGUCAGUGAAUAACAGAGAAGCCUCUUUGCAAUGCAGCAAUGGUUGUGCGUGCAAGAGAUAAGUACUGCAAAAGGGUUUGUUAGGGUCCCUUCUCCUCAUUGGGAGGAGAGAGAGGAUGCAGGAGUGAGGAAAGGAUAAUGAUACUGAACUGCAGGGCUCCUGUGAAGGUACCACAUAUGCUCUUCUGCUGGGUAUAUUUCCUUGUUAUAGUCUCUUGGCCUGCUUUUCCCCAUGACAGUGGUCUGUGAGCUGUCACAGACCUUCUCCUUUGCUCAAGGAGAAGACCUCAGUUCCAGUUCCUCAGACUCCCUCACUGCUGCAGCACUGUGGGCAUGCACAUGCCCUCAUGCUGACCUCCUCCCGUGGCCUGUGUUUUGAUUUGCUCAUCUCUCCUGUGGCUCAUCUUCAUGUUGGGUGCUGCUGUGAGAGGUGCUGGACUUGAUGUCUUUGUAGAAGACAUUUCCUGGGAGACCAUACAGCUCCGUGACAUCACCACAGGGCACCAGGCAACAGAGCAUGGCAGCUUUGGGAUUGCCACAUGCUUUCCAAGUAAAUUCCUCUUCUAUUCAGCACCACCCACCAGGUAUGCAUUCACCCCUUCUCUUGCUCUGUUCUCCAAUAGGCCUUGUGUCCUCUCUUCCCUCCUGAGACUCACUGUUUUUUGAUGUGCUCCAGGUGAUCCCUAUAACUUUGGGGAUGCAAGGGCAGUAGGGUGGGUCCUGCCACCUGCAGUCACAGGGCAAAGACACCUGGAUCCCUGGAGAGAUCCAGUGUGCUGUGUAGUUGUAGCAGAGCACAGAGGAUAGUCAGCAAAGUGCUGGGAUGUCACGGUCAAUCAGGAGCUUAAUUACGGAUACACAGGAGGAAAUUGCCCAGAGAGGUUGUGGAUGCUCCAUGUUCAAGGCCAGGAUGGGUGGGCCCUGAGCAACCUGAUCUAGUGAGUGGCAUUCCUGCCCAUAGCAGGGGUUUAGAACUAGUUGAUCUUUAAGGUCCCCUCCAACCCAAAACAUUCUAUGAGUCUGUGAAGGACGUUGUUCUUCCACUGCUUUCUUUCCACAGAGUAAGUGCUGGAAAGCUGGAUGUAGCUCUUGUUCAGUGUGAUGCAAAGGCAGGGUAGGUAUAAGUGUGUUUUUAACAUCGUAAGAUAUUGCCAUACAGCAGUCCUUUGCAUGGCACUGCACAUGCUAACUGGGUACAGAGCUGCUGUUAGCACUGGAACAGCACCUGGGGAUGGGUUUGUCAUCUUGGGUGUGAACCCAGACUUAGGGUGCUUGUAACAUAAAGCUGUGCUCCAGAGUUGUUUGAGAUCCCUAUUCAGACACAGCAGCCAUGAUCUAAAUUGUGGAUGGUUUCAGUGUGCCUUGGCCAGGAUCUCAGAAAAGUUGAAUAUGCGUGUGCUUCUCUGUUUAAGACCAGGAUUAAUACGGUGCACGCUCUAAUUUAGAUUCCAGGAACGAAGUUCAAGAAUCUACGCUUGCACAGCCAGGAGGGCUAUUUGAGGCAAAAGUGAAAUUGAUUUUGGUUUAAAAGGGCUGUAAAAGAAGAUAGGAGUAAAUAUGGAGAAAAAUAAUCUAAAAUUGAUUAGAAAGCAGCUAUUACCCAGCAGGCAGUAAACCACCAAAGAUAGACCAUUGAAUAACCAUGAAAAGAAAAUGAGAAUGCUGUGGUAUAUACAAAUAAUAAUCGAACACGGCACUCCUGCAAUGAUAUUUUUUUGCUUCAAUCAGUGUGUCACUCCGACUGAAGAGUGUUUUAAGAUUAGAAACUGCUGUGAAAGACUAGAGAUGUGUGCCCUAGACCUUGGAAAAAACUUUGAAUCAGGAUUGGUAACUAUCAGGGGGAUUUAUGUCAAAGUUUACCCUAGAAACUCAGCACUGGGGACAAACUCUGGGAGUGGACUUCAAGCAGAACCUGUGGGUCAAAUUAAGUCACAGAUACCAAACUGAAGGAAAAAAAAGACAGAUUUCAUACCUGAUGCUGGCAUGGAAAAGGACAAUCUGGCUGCACACUUGCAAUAUCUGGAACAUGAAACUGUGGCAGUGGUUUUAAUUACACAGAUGGGACUUACUGAAUACACCAGUUUGGAGACUGUAGAGAGAUUCCCAAUGAAUGGCUGUAUCACAGACAUCAACUUACUGUACAAAUUUCAACUACAUUUUUACAACCAUACAGUGAACUUUGCACACCUAGAGAUGUGCUCAGGGCAUUUUUACUUCUAGUUCUCUUCAGCCCAGACUUGAUGCUGUAUGUAAGGCAUAUCUAACAUUAAUGAGAAAAUAAAAUUAUACAUUCCACUUUGUCCUUGGGAAUUUAUAGAGGUUCUAUUACCCAAUAUACCUGUGAACUCCUCAGACUUAUGGAUUAGUUCCAAGUGAGUGAAAUAAUUAAUGUCUCACCAAGCUAUAUAUGGCACAAUUAAAUAUUUUAAGAAUAAGAACCUAAGUGUUAGUUCAACCAUUCAAGUUGGUAUGAGUUCAGAUUUAGAAUAUCAUGUGCAAUCUUAAAUAUCAUUCACAAAAUUCUUGACGUGAAGUGCUUUUAGGAUAGUCCUUGUAACAGCUAGGACAUUAAGCUUAAUCUUGCACCCAGUUGUAAUAAUACCUAUGUUUCAAAUAAUUAUACUAAUGUCAACUAUUGCAUUGAUAAAUGAGAAUUACUGUUUCUUUGAGAUAAAGGUUUAUGCAAACUCUUGCUUGUGAUACUGCCUCUCUACCCAGGGGGUGGGUAUGGCUCAGUGUUAGCUUGGACCCUGUCUGGUUAGACAGUCACCUAAGGGGCAGGAACCAGAAGUGGUCCAAAAGUCAAGGUUUUUUACAUGCCUCUUCAACAGACCUUCCCACAACACUGCAGUGUAGUGCCUUAGAUGUUUUAAGUGGUCCACGUGAGCGUCUGUGACUUCUGUCUUCAGGAAAGUGAAUUCUCCAUCAGCACAAGUCAAGGACUGAACCUUUCUCAGAUACUGGGGACCUCCAUGGCAUUCCUGCUGCUGCUUUAUAGAAACGAGCCACAGGUACCUGCCAUAUGUCUUACUGCAUUGUAAUAAUUAACAUGAGUGUCACAAUCUUAAUGUGGGAUUAUAAACCUAUAUUCAUAACUGCUGUUCGUCUCCAAAAUCAGCAAUCUGGCUUGUGUCUGGAUCCAGCUCCUGCACUUCCUCUGCCCUGUGUGUGCCUAUAUUGGUCUUCUUCUGUCCAUGGAGUUAUGUCACAGAUGCAUCUAAAGCAGGGUGCUCUGCAGCUGGCACAAGCACUGUCUCACCAGAGCUCCUGCCCUACCAGGUGGAGGACAACAACUCCCAGGUGUCUGUCCCAGUGGAAGUGUGACUGUCUAUAAACCCCAUAUCUCCAGCUGGAGUUUCACCUCUCUUGUGAGCUCACAUGGAGUCACGAGCAAAUGCCCCAGACCUUUGAGAGUCACUGGUUUAGGAUGAAUGGGUACCCUCUGGUGCUCCCCACUGCCUGUUGUAGGGAAAGACACACUGAUCUCUCCUGCCCAGAAGAGGGGGGUAGUUGUCUUGCAAAUCCUUCAGUCACCCCCAGCUACACCCCUCUGCCAUGGUCAUCACCUGCUUCACCACCUCUGGCUCCUCUUCUCUUCCCUGGCUGAUCCCACUUCCACGGCUCCCACCUCUCUGCCCAUGAAGCUCAAGGACUGAUGUAGCUCUCCCACAUGGACAAGCCACUGCUGAGGAGGUGCUGAAACAAUCAAACACGGUGAGUUGGCAAGUUCUGAAAGGAGCAGGUGUCUCAUAUUGCAGAGGAAGGAGUCACAGAGAACAGAGAUCAUUAACCCUCUACAAAAGCUUAAUAUUCCAUAAAUGGCACAUGGAGAAAGUGCAAUGGUAGCUGCUCUUGAAUCCCCAGUGAAGAAAAUCUCUGCCUGGUGCAACAAGCUGCUACCUGUGCAGGGGAUGGAGCAGCAGAAAAUUGCUAAAGAUAUCAUGAAACCUGCUUUGUUGGGCUGCACUCUGGUGGGGGCUGCAGUUAUGUGACUGCACUGGGACUGCUGCUGGAAAUUGUGUUGAAAAGAUGUGGAAGCAUCCUCUGCUCAAACAGGUGAUGAAAUUCUUAUGAGUUUGGUGGAUCUUAACAUUCAUUUGUAGAUAGCAGCAUCUGUGGGGAGAGAUGGGGUUUCGUGGGGUGAGUGAGUCGGAUGACUUGGAUUUUCACGAUUUCUGCUUUCAUGUAUGCCUGCAGUGCUGUUCAUGUCCUAUGCAUAGUUUCUGUGGAAGCAACACAAUAUGCUGGACUGCUGAAGAUACAGCUGCCAAAAAAAUGGUGCAACUGAUUUAGUAUGAAACUAGGUUUACAUGUGCACUUGGCCAACAGGUGAAUGGUAAGAGACAGGACCAUCAGGUCUUUAUUUUGUUUAAAAAUGGAG
Long non-coding RNA from Corapipo altera (White-ruffed manakin), 7038 nucleotides. RefSeq lists it as uncharacterized. The record is from RefSeq and is a predicted model, not a curated record. The transcript has 3 exons. Lineage: Eukaryota; Metazoa; Chordata; Aves; Passeriformes; Pipridae.